GACGAACGCUGGCGGCGUGCUUAACACAUGCAAGUCGAACGGAAAGGCCCUGCUUUUGUGGGGUGCUCGAGUGGCGAACGGGUGAGUAACACGUGAGUAACCUGCCCUUGACUUUGGGAUAACUUCAGGAAACUGGGGCUAAUACCGGAUAGGAGCUCCUGCUGCAUGGUGGGGGUUGGAAAGUUUCGGCGGUUGGGGAUGGACUCGCGGCUUAUCAGCUUGUUGGUGGGGUAGUGGCUUACCAAGGCUUUGACGGGUAGCCGGCCUGAGAGGGUGACCGGCCACAUUGUGACUGAGAUACGGCCCAGACUCCUACGGGAGGCAGCAGUGGGGAAUAGUGCACAAUGGGCGGAAGCCUGAUGCAGCAACGCCGCGUGCGGGAUGACGGCCUUCGGGUUGUAAACCGCUUUCGCCUGUGACGAAGCGUGAGUGACGGUAAUGGGUAAAGAAGCACCGGCUAACUACGUG
This 468-nucleotide ribosomal RNA is filed under the name uncultured bacterium. RNAcentral's name for it is "partial 16S ribosomal RNA". It matches the Rfam family "Bacterial small subunit ribosomal RNA", at positions 28 to 507 of the family's 1533-position model. The record is from RNAcentral.